Molecule: long non-coding RNA, 1563 nt
Organism: Patella vulgata (common limpet)
Lineage: Eukaryota; Metazoa; Mollusca; Gastropoda; Patellidae
Exons: 6
Source: RefSeq, a predicted model, not a curated record
CUCCCCAAAAGCAUAUGAAUUCCUAAGAACAGUAUUGCCCCUUCCUGCAGGGCGUUCGUUAAGGAGAUGGUUAGAAAACAUAGAGGCAGAACCAGGUAUAUCAACCUGUAUGAUCAACACACUAAUUACCAAAAAAGAUGAAAACCCUGAUGAAUACACACAUUGCAGCUUAAUGCUAGAUGCAAUGGCUAUUCGAAAACAGGUCACUUAUGACAGUCACGCUGGUAAGCUAGUUGGGUUUGUUGACUUGGGGACUGGGAUUGAUGAAACAGAUGAAGCCAAAGAGGCUCUAGUUUUUAUGUUAGUUGGAAUCAAAUCCAAAUGGAAAGCUCCUGUGGCAUAUUAUUUAAGUAAAGGAUUACAGGCAGAAGUGCAAGCUGGGCUUCUUGUGGGAUGUAUCGAGAAGCUGUCGGAGUGUGGUUUUGUCAUCCACUCAGUCACAAUGGAUGGACAUGCAUCCAACAUCAGUAUGUGUCAUUUGUUGGGAUGUAAUUUUGAAUACCAUCAGCACGAUCCCAAACCACUUUUUCAAUUGCCGGGAAUUAAACACAGAAUAUGGGUUGUAAUGGAUGCCUGUCAUAUGGUUAAAUUAAUCCGAAAUGCACUAGAGGCCUAUGGAACACUCAUGUCUGCUAAGGGUGCCAUAAAAUGGGACCACAUUAGGCAACUCAAUGAAGUUCAAGAAGAGAUAUGACUCCGCUUAGGCAACAGGCUUUCAGCUAAUCAUUUAGCCUUUAAACAACAAAUAAUGAAAGUAUCACUUGCAGUGCAGACAUUGUCUAGUUCUGUUGCCCGAGCAUUAGAAACGGCUGAAGAACUUGGGGUGCAGGGUUUUCAUCUAUGUGAACCAACUAUAGAAUUUAUUGAGGAAAACAGGAUUUAUGGGAAUGGUCAUAAAUAUAGACAGCAUCCUUGGUUUGUCUUCAGAUCUCUUUUAUACUGAUGUGCACCCACUCAAAUAUCUACUGACAUAUAAAUUUAGCCAAGAUCACUUGGAACUAUUUUUCAAUGCUGUACGUAGAAUUGGUGGCUGGAAUAAUAACCCCACUGUUAUUCAGUUUAAGGCUGCAUUUAGACGCCUUAUAUGACGCGCUGGAACAAGUACAAGUGGAUCCAGUGGCAAUGUAGUAGGAAUGGACGACACAACAAUCAUUCAAGCUUCCACUUCUACAUAUGUCCCAUCCACGGUUUCCAGGAAUGAUGAUGAUUAUCAUAUGCCUUUAGAUGUUGAAAAUGUUGAUAAUUAUAAUAAUCUAAAUGUAAAACAGAGUUUAUUAGUUGAUAAUGUUCUUGUAUAUAUUUCUGGAUAUGUUGUUAGGAAGGCACUACCACAAUUAAAGUGUGAUAUUUGCCGAUCUGUUAUUGUAAACCCAGUGACUAGAUAUAAUAAUACCCAUUUUCUUAUUACCAUUAAAGAUAAUGGCGGUUUACUUAAACCAUCAGAUGGAUUAGUUAAAAUUAUUACUGUAGCUGAGAAAUUGUUAAGAUGUAUGUCGUCAAUAAAUACACCAGCUCAUAGUUGUACAAUGUUAAAAUUGUAGGCUGCCGUGUUAGAAGAAGUUG